ACGAACGCUGGCGGCAUGCCUAACACAUGCAAGUCGCACGAGACCUUCGGGUCUAGUGGCGCACGGGUGCGUAACGCGUGGGAACCUGCCUUUAGGUUCGGAAUAACUCAGAGAAAUUUGAGCUAAUACCGGAUGAUGUCUUCGGACCAAAGAUUUAUCGCCUUUAGAUGGGCCCGCGUUGGAUUAGCUAGUUGGUGGGGUAAAGGCCUACCAAGGCGACGAUCCAUAGCUGGUCUGAGAGGAUGAUCAGCCACACUGGGACUGAGACACGGCCCAGACUCCUACGGGAAGCAGCAGUGGGGAAUAUUGGACAAUGGGCGAAAGCCUGAUCCAGCAAUGCCGCGUGAGUGAUGAAGGCCUUAGGGUUGUAAAGCUCUUUUACCCGAGAUGAUAAUGACAGUAUCGGGAGAAUAAGCUCCGGCUAACUCCGUG
This 432-nucleotide ribosomal RNA is filed under the name uncultured bacterium. RNAcentral describes it as "partial 16S ribosomal RNA". It matches the Rfam family "Bacterial small subunit ribosomal RNA", at positions 29 to 507 of the family's 1533-position model. The record is from RNAcentral.